UACAGAGGGGGCGAGCGUUGUUCGGAAUUACUGGGCGUAAAGCGCGCGCAGGCGGUCUUCCAAGUCAGUGGUGAAAGCCCGGAGCUCAACUCCGGAACUGCCAUUGAAACUGUUAGACUUGAGGACGAGAGAGGUGAGUGGAAUUCCCAGUGUAGAGGUGAAAUUCGUAGAUAUUGGGAAGAACACCGGUGGCGAAGGCGGCUCACUGGCUCGUUUCUGACGCUGAGGUGCGAAAGCGUGGGGAGCAAACAGG
RNAcentral lists this ribosomal RNA (253 nucleotides) under uncultured bacterium. Its description in RNAcentral is "partial 16S ribosomal RNA". It matches the Rfam family "Bacterial small subunit ribosomal RNA", at positions 524 to 776 of the family's 1533-position model. The record is from RNAcentral.